This is a long non-coding RNA of Engraulis encrasicolus (European anchovy), 883 nucleotides long. RefSeq lists it as uncharacterized. NCBI's taxonomy places the organism in Eukaryota, Metazoa, Chordata, Actinopteri, Clupeiformes, Engraulidae. The record is from RefSeq and is a predicted model, not a curated record. The transcript has 3 exons.
UUUUCUCUCCUACUCACGCGGCAUCAUAUUUAUAUCAUGUUUCAGAUACUCCAGGAAUGCCAGUCUGAGUAUGCCAUGUUGCUGCAGAGGAAAGAGAUGGCUUCACUGCUGACGGGGUCCCAUCAAUUGAUGUGUCAAGAAGAAGUUGCAGAGCCUUGGUCAAACCAGAGGUUGCCAGGAUGUCAAACCCUGGGUGGGAAGUAUAAUAAACCAUCUGUACUGGGCUGUGGUCUCGACGCCUCCUGACAAUGUUCAACUUGUGGUGGACAAAUGGACAUCAGUUAUGGAUCACAUCCACAACAGGCAUACCGGGUUCGAGGGACUGUUCUCUUCUUGUGCACACGGAGUCUUGGAAGGCAGGGAACAGCCUGUGUCACUUUUCAUACAAAGGGAUGGAGAGCAGGCUAUGCUGAAGAGCUGAUGCGGAUGGUGGAGGCCAUGUGUCGAGUUGAGGACUACAGCUGUGAUGACUUUGACAUUCCAGACCUAUCCCCUGUUCCAGAGCCACUGAGUGCAUCAUGUGAAAAGCCGGAUAAGAGGGCAGCAGUCAGUACACACACACACAACACGCUUUAGCGCCACAAACAACCCUUCAAUAUAGACAUUACCAAAAGUUUGAUGCCGGCAAUUCCAAAACCACAGUACAGGGUGUGUUGGAAGGACACUUUUUUCUCUCUUUUUUCACACUUAUGCAUACAAAUGGUUCCAACUCAGGUGACUUAUCUGAGUAAAAAGUAGACCAAUGUACUUGUCGUAUGUUCAGCUGAUUCUCCACUGGUUGGAUUGAGUUUGCGGUGAUAGUAUGUGUAGCUCUGCUCCAGCAGGGGGCACCAAAGCUACACACUCACCAUCUGUUGUGAACCAGGCCAGGUCCUCGUUAGGU